GAUUAUGGCUCAGGACGAACGCUGGCGGCAUGCCUAACACAUGCAAGUCGAACGGAGUAAUGACUUCGGUUAUACUUAGUGGCGAACGGGUGAGUAACACGUGAAUAAUCUGCCCUGUACGAUGGGAUAACAGCUGGAAACGGCUGCUAAUACCGUAUAUGACCACGCCGAGGCAUCUCGGAGGGGUGAAAGCGCUUAAGCGGUACAGGAUGAGUUCGCGUCCAAUUAGCUAGUUGGUGAGAUAACGGCCCACCAAGGCGACGAUUGGUAGCCGACCUGAGAGGGUGAUCGGCCACACUGGAACUGAGACACGGUCCAGACUCCUACGGGAGGCAGCAGUGGGGAAUAUUGGGCAAUGGAGGAAACUUCCUUACCCAGCAAUGCCGCGUGAGUGAUGAAGGUCUUCGGAUUGUAAAGCUCUUUGAUUGGGGACGAAUAAAUGACGGUACCCAAGGAACAAGCCCCGGCUAACUAUGUGCCAGCCGCCGC
This 489-nucleotide ribosomal RNA is filed under the name uncultured bacterium. RNAcentral's name for it is "bacterial SSU rRNA". It matches the Rfam family "Bacterial small subunit ribosomal RNA", at positions 15 to 518 of the family's 1533-position model. The record is from RNAcentral.